RNAcentral lists this transfer RNA (73 nucleotides) under Neisseriaceae bacterium. Its description in RNAcentral is "tRNA-Trp". It matches the Rfam family "tRNA". From Rfam's summary of the family: Transfer RNA (tRNA) molecules are approximately 80 nucleotides in length. Their secondary structure includes four short double-helical elements and three loops (D, anti-codon, and T loops). Lineage: Bacteria; Pseudomonadati; Pseudomonadota; Betaproteobacteria; Neisseriales; Neisseriaceae. The record is from RNAcentral.
ACGAGCGUAGCUCAAUUGGCAGAGCAGCGGAUUCCAAAUCCGCAGGUUGAAGGUUCAAUCCCUUCCGCUAGUA